This 393-nucleotide long non-coding RNA is filed under the name Nicotiana benthamiana. Its description in RNAcentral is "long non-coding RNA (NBEN_LNC007275)". The record is from RNAcentral. Lineage: Eukaryota; Viridiplantae; Streptophyta; Magnoliopsida; Solanales; Solanaceae.
GAAGGAGUUCGAUUUCACUGUCGAACCACGAAAAGGAUCCGUCUUUGAAGCAGUAAAUGGGUGGAGGAGCGAUGGAAGAAGAGGCAAUAUUUUUGCCGGAACGAGCUCUUUUAGAAUUCUUGCCCGCCAUUUGAAUGAAGAAAUAAGAGCCUUUGUAUGACUUUUGGAGACUUUUGAAGAGUGUUUGGAGAUAAGAGUGAUGGUGAAGUGAAGAUUUUGAAGGGUGGAAGCUCCUAUUUAUAGAGUGGAAGAAUUGAAGGCAUUUAAUUGAACAAAAUCUUCAGAUGUACUGUGCCAAACGGUCAGAAAACGGUAACAAAUUUGAAAAUUUGACCGUUGAUAAUCGACUAUUGAUUCUGAUAAUCGAUUAUUGUUAAGCAGUUUGAAUAACAG